AUUGAACGCUGGCGGCGGGCCUAACACAUGCAAGUCGAACGCUGUAGCAAUACAGAGUGGCAGACGGGUGAGUAACGCGUGGGAACCUUCCCAAUGGUACGGAAUAGCCCAGGGAAACUUGGGGUAAUACCGUAUACGCCCCUAGGGGGAAAGAUUUAUCGCCAUUGGAUGGGCCCGCGUCGGAUUAGCUAGUUGGUGAGGUAAUGGCUCACCAAGGCAACGAUCCGUAGCUGGUUUGAGAGAAUGACCAGCCACACUGGGACUGAGACACGGCCCAGACUCCUACGGGAGGCAGCAGUGGGGAAUCUUGGACAAUGGGCGCAAGCCUGAUCCAGCCAUGCCGCGUGAGUGACGAAGGCCUUAGGGUUGUAAAGCUCUUUUGCCGGGGACGAUAAUGACGGUACCCGGAGAAUAAGUCCCGGCUAACUUCGUGCCAGCCGCCGCGGUAA
Molecule: ribosomal RNA, 449 nt
Filed under: uncultured bacterium
Lineage: Bacteria
Description: partial 16S ribosomal RNA
Rfam family: Bacterial small subunit ribosomal RNA
Source: RNAcentral